AUUGAACGCGGGCGGCAUGCUUUACACAUGCAAGUCGAACGGCAGCGGAGAGUGCUUGCACUCUGCCGGCGAGUGGCGAACGGGUGAGUAACAUAUUGGAACGUACCGAGUAAUGGGGGAUAACUAUCCGAAAGGAUAGCUAAUACCGCAUACGCUUUGAGAAGGAAAGUGGGGGAUCUUCGGACCUCACGUUAUUCGAGCGGCCAAUAUCUGAUUAGCUAGUUGGUGGGGUAAAGGCCUACCAAGGCGACGAUCAGUAGCGGGUCUGAGAGGAUGAUCCGCCACACUGGGACUGAGACACGGCCCAGACUCCUACGGGAGGCAGCAGUGGGGAAUUUUGGACAAUGGGCGCAAGCCUGAUCCAGCCAUGCCGCGUGUCUGAAGAAGGCCUUCGGGUUGUAAAGGACUUUUGUUAGGGAAGAAAAGAAAUGGGUUAAUACUCCAUUUUGCUGACGGUACCUAAAGAAUAAGCACCGGCUAACUACGUGCCAGCAGCCGCGGUAAUACGUAGGGUGCGAGCGUUAAUCGGAAUUACUGGGCGUAAAGCGAGCGCAGACGGUUUGUUAAGCAGGAUGUGAAAUCCCCGGGCUCAACCUGGGAACUGCGUUCUGAACUGGCAAGCUAGAGUGUGUCAGAGGGGGGUAGAAUUCCACGUGUAGCAGUGAAAUGCGUAGAGAUGUGGAGGAAUACCGAUGGCGAAGGCAGCCCCCUGGGAUAACACUGACGUUCAUGCUCGAAAGCGUGGGUAGCAAACAGG
Molecule: ribosomal RNA, 757 nt
Filed under: uncultured Kingella sp.
Lineage: Bacteria; Pseudomonadati; Pseudomonadota; Betaproteobacteria; Neisseriales; Neisseriaceae
Description: bacterial SSU rRNA
Rfam family: Bacterial small subunit ribosomal RNA
Source: RNAcentral